AACAGACAGGUAUUGCGUUCAAAAUAACAGAGGAAUAGAAGAUUAUUCGGAAAAUACUACUUUUAUUGAAUUCUUAAGUACUUUGAUUUGUAAAAGCAAUGGACACCGAGGUGUGAACAGACUAUGAAAGCGUUAGUUUUAUAGGAUAAAUGGACGAGGCUCGAGGAUUGUAUACACUUUAAUAGAAUCGUGAUGAAAUGAUUUGAAGUAAUAGACUUUUAAAAUGGAUUUUGACUGUGUAACGGAGAUUCACAGGAGAUAUCAUAGAUAAACAAUAUUUACGAUGCACGCAGUUCAUAUGAGUGUAAUUAUACAGUCGAGAUAAACAAGAUCGAUUCCGGAUGGAACUGCUUCAGGUGAUCGCUCUUGUGAGCACACUUUCAACAAUAGUUGAAGGUCUCCAUUGCUGGCACUGUAUCGCUGACGACUGCUCUGACGACCCGAGUGGAAACUAAAAGGCCACAGAGAAAUUGUGUAUCGCUGAGCAAGCAUGUCAGAAAGUAUACUUUGAGAUGCUAGAAGAAACUGAAAGGGGCAACUUUAUUCACACGUCGACAGUACGAGGCUGUUCAAGUGGGUGUAAGUCACGUAACGACUUUAGAAACUGCACGCAUCAACAACGAACGUCACGUGGAUGUGUCCGGAAGGACUGUUGUAGUGAUACUGACCUGUGUAACAGUGCAAACACUUUGCAGAUUGGUUUGUCAUUGCCUGUGAUCAUGAUUUUUGCAAUAGAGCAGGCAUUGUGAAGAUGUGUGUAAUUUUCUGUGGUGAUGGUGAUUCGCGUAGCGAUGCAAACGUUGUGAGGAUUGCUGUGUCUUUUUCUGUGAGGAAUUUGUAACGGUGCAACUAUUGUGUAGAUGAGCUUGUGAUUUGCCUUGAUUAUUAAGAUUUCUGUAACACUAAAAACAUUGUGCAGGUGCGUGUGUAAUUGUUGUAAUCCUGCUGAUUUGGCGUAUAAUGUAUUAACUUGUGAGCAUGCGUGAGUUGUGCCAUAGUCUGAUAAGUGUAACAUAUAAUGAUCGUCACCUAUGGUCUGUGCUUAGAGUCAUUGUGAAACAGGAAAAAACGAGUAAGAUUGUUUGUGAUCAUUUUAUCACGGAUUGAUAAAUUAUGAUGAUGAAUCAGUUGUUGUGUGUGAACAGUUCAGUAACACACAUUUGGAAACAUUUUUAAAAAGUUUUCAACUUGUGUACUGUUCAAUACGGUUGCGGCAGCAAAGAUCGAAACUUGUUCUAUAAACAUACAUACUAAGGUGAACGGAUCAUAUAUGAUUUGAUGUUAUUUUCGAUGUUGCUCCGGUGUUUUGUUUUCUUUUGUUUUGAUGUGAAAAAUUUGUUUUGGCUUUACAACAUCAAAUUUUAAUGAUUGAUUUCCAUUGCAUGCAAAUAUGUUUAUAUUUCCUCUUAAAAUAGACAUUUCGUGUAUAAAUGUCAAAAAUAUUGCACCUUUACCAUGCAAGAAUUUACCAUACUAAAACAAGUUGUUUUUGGGCAUUGUUAAGAUUGUUUAUCGAAUCUAAUAUAAUCUAUUUAUUUCUUUAGAUAGGUAGGAAUCGUGAUUUGGCUUCAUUAAAGCAAAUUUAAGUGAUUAAGUUCUUUUUCAUCUCCUAGAGAUGUGAAGCCAAGAACGUCUGGGUUGAGCUAUCUCUAAAAGAGUUUAUAUAAAGUUAGUAACAAACAAGAUACAACUUACAACGAGUUUAGGAUUUUACAAAACUGAAGAAAUGGCCUUUGGGCGUUGUUAAUAUCGAAUAUGGUGAUUGACUGAUACCGUAGAGACGUGUUUGGGUAUUGGUCAACUUCAAAAAAUGACAUUGAAUAUUAUUGAAUUCAUGGUUCGCAGAAUAUUGCUUUAUACUUAAUAAAAAAUAUUCUGAUUAAGAUAUGUUUGCCGACAUUGACGUGAAUAAUUAAGGUAAAUAACUGAUAUGAGCAAGGGAAGUACUAGACAUAAAUGACUAAAUGAACAUGAAAUUUACGAAAAUGACAAAUUCUUAAGAAAUACACUUAAUAAAUACAUAAAUUAUAAGGAUAUGCCCUUUAUUACAAAUUCGGAUAAUGUAGACUAGCUCUAGAAAAUCGCAUUUUCAAAAUCUAUAUUUUGUAAAAGAUGUUCUGCUUUAGUAAUUGGCCGCUUUUCACAUUGAAACUUGCUCAUUUUAAGUGGAUACUAUAUUUAAAAGAUAGCUGCAUAUAUUAGACGCACACUAUAAAAAUUAACUUGUUUAUUUAGGAGCAAGCGUAGGAUUGAAUACUUGUAAGCUAUUUUGAUCGCCUAUUGAACUCCUGUUUUGAUGACCGUUCCAAUGCGGUAAUCCCAAAUAUUUAUUUAAAGAUACAAAGUUUAUUUUCUAUGAAUUUGUCUUUGUUGUAUUUCGACUUUGUGUUUCUCUCGUUAAGUGACUUUUCCGCCUCUUACCAGUUUCAUCGUUAUAAUAUGGGCUUCCGGGAUUGUCCCCGUACUUCUCAAUGUUUAAUUUAGAUUUUUCUAGACAGACUUCUUGUUGUAAUUGACCGGAAAUUUUUAAUCGAUAUUUCUAGUUGAAGGCCCCUCUAUUUUAUUUUAAACUUAUUAUACCCCCUGAAUCAAACAUUAUCAGUAUUUAUUUAUUUGAUAAAUAAUGUGUUGCUAUAUAUAAAGAUCUACUUAGGUUUUAAUACAUGUUUAAGAAAUAUUAUGCAAAAUAAUCGGUCGGUUCCCUCUC
Molecule: long non-coding RNA, 2707 nt
Organism: Mya arenaria
Lineage: Eukaryota; Metazoa; Mollusca; Bivalvia; Myida; Myidae
Exons: 3
Source: RefSeq, a predicted model, not a curated record